This 164-nucleotide ribosomal RNA is filed under the name Oryza latifolia. Its description in RNAcentral is "5.8S ribosomal RNA". It matches the Rfam family "5.8S ribosomal RNA". Rfam says of the family: 5.8S ribosomal RNA (5.8S rRNA) is a component of the large subunit of the eukaryotic ribosome. It is transcribed by RNA polymerase I as part of the 45S precursor that also contains 18S and 28S rRNA. The record is from RNAcentral. Lineage: Eukaryota; Viridiplantae; Streptophyta; Magnoliopsida; Poales; Poaceae.
CACACGACUCUCGGCAACGGAUAUCUCGGCUCUCGCAUCGAUGAAGAACGUAGCGAAAUGCGAUACCUGGUGUGAAUUGCAGAAUCCCGUGAACCAUCGAGUCUUUGAACGCAAGUUGCGCCCGAGGCCAUUCGGCCGAGGGCACGCCUGCCUGGGCGUCACGC